CGACGCAGCUAACGCAUUAAGUGCCCCGCCUGGGGAGUACGAUCGCAAGAUUAAAACUCAAAGGAAUUGACGGGGCCCCGCACAAGCAGCGGAGCAUGCGGCUUAAUUCGACGCAACGCGAAGAACCUUACCAAGGCUUGACAUAUACAGGAAUAUGGCAGAGAUGUCAUAGCCGCAAGGUCUGUAUACAGGUGGUGCAUGGUUGUCGUCAGCUCGUGUCGUGAGAUGUUGGGUUAAGUCCCGCAACGAGCGCAACCCUCGUUCUGUGUUGCCAGCAUUUAGUUGGGGACUCACAGGAGACUGCCGGGGUUAACUCGGAGGAAGGUGGGGAUGACGUCAAAUCAUCAUGCCCCUUAUGUCUUGGGCUGCACGCAUGCUACAAUGGCUGGUACAAACGGCUGCGAUACCGCAAGGUGGAGCGAAUCCGAUAAAGCCAGUCUCAGUUCGGAUUGGGGUCUGCAACUCGACCCCAUGAAGUCGGAGUUGCUAGUAAUCGUAGAUCAGCAACGCUACGGUGAAUACGUUCCCGGGGCUUGUACACACCGCCCGUCACGUCACGAAAGUCGGUAACACCCGAAGUCAGUGGCCCAACCGCAA
This 597-nucleotide ribosomal RNA is filed under the name uncultured Actinomycetes bacterium. Its description in RNAcentral is "bacterial SSU rRNA". It matches the Rfam family "Bacterial small subunit ribosomal RNA", at positions 844 to 1444 of the family's 1533-position model. Lineage: Bacteria; Bacillati; Actinomycetota; Actinomycetes. The record is from RNAcentral.